UUAGGAAUCUUCCACAAUGGGCGAAAGCCUGAUGGAGUGACACCGCGUGAAGGAUGAAGCCUUUACUGGCGUAAACUUCUUUUCUCAGGGACGAUAAUGACGGUACCUGAGGAAUAAGGGGUUGCCAACUACGUGCCAGCAGCAGCGGUAAUACGUAGGCCCCGAGCGUUAUCCGGAAUUACUGGGCGUAAAGAGUCUGUAGGUGGGAAGGUAAGUCUAACAUGAAAUGCCGGGGCUCAACCCCGCGCCCGUGUUGGAAACUGUCUUUCUUGAACGGCUAAGAGGGAAGCGGAACGGUGGGAGUAGGGGUGCAAUCCGUUGACACCCACCAGAACACCAAAAGCGAAGGCAGCUUCCUGGGAGCCUGUUGACACUGAGAGACGAAAGCGUGGGGAGCGAAAAGG
RNAcentral lists this ribosomal RNA (404 nucleotides) under uncultured bacterium. Its description in RNAcentral is "bacterial SSU rRNA". It matches the Rfam family "Bacterial small subunit ribosomal RNA", at positions 355 to 776 of the family's 1533-position model. The record is from RNAcentral.